This 253-nucleotide ribosomal RNA is filed under the name uncultured bacterium. Its description in RNAcentral is "partial 16S ribosomal RNA". It matches the Rfam family "Bacterial small subunit ribosomal RNA", at positions 524 to 776 of the family's 1533-position model. The record is from RNAcentral.
UACGAAGGGGGCUAGCGUUGUUCGGAAUUAUUGGGCGUAAAGAGCUCGUAGGCGGUUUGUCGCGUCGGCUGUGAAAACUCGGGACUCAACCCCGAGCCUGCAGUCGAUACGGGCAGACUGGAGUUCGGCAGGGGAGACUGGAAUUCCUGGUGUAGCGGUGAAAUGCGCAGAUAUCAGGAGGAACACCGGUGGCGAAGGCGGGUCUCUGGGCCGAUACUGACGCUGAGGAGCGAAAGCGUGGGGAGCGAACAGG